AACGGACGCUGGCGGCAGGCCUAACACAUGCAAGUCGAGCGGACCUUUCGGGGUCAGCGGCGGACGGGUGAGUAACGCGUGGGAAUAUGCCCUUCUCUACGGAAUCGUCCUGGGAAACUGGGGGUAAUACCGUAUACGCCCUUUGGGGGAAAGAUUUAUCGGGGAAGGAUUAGCCCGCGUUGGAUUAGGUAGUUGGUGGGGUAAUGGCCUACCAAGCCGACGAUCCAUAGCUGGUUUGAGAGGAUGAUCAGCCACACUGGGACUGAGACACGGCCCAGACUCCUACGGGAGGCAGCAGUGGGGAAUCUUAGACAAUGGGGGCAACCCUGAUCUAGCCAUGCCGCGUGAGUGAUGAAGGCCUUAGGGUUGUAAAGCUCUUUCAGCUGGGAAGAUAAUGACGGUACCAGCAGAAGAAGCCCCGGCUAACUCCGU
This 432-nucleotide ribosomal RNA is filed under the name uncultured bacterium. RNAcentral describes it as "partial 16S ribosomal RNA". It matches the Rfam family "Bacterial small subunit ribosomal RNA", at positions 29 to 506 of the family's 1533-position model. The record is from RNAcentral.